RNAcentral lists this long non-coding RNA (1246 nucleotides) under Anser brachyrhynchus (Pink-footed goose). RNAcentral describes it as "lncRNA (ENSABRG00000014334.1)". The record is from RNAcentral. Lineage: Eukaryota; Metazoa; Chordata; Aves; Anseriformes; Anatidae.
UAAUCAUUCAUUAGUAAAUUAGGAGCAUUCCUCACCCAGUGCAUCAGCACCUGAGAGCAAUUCUCUGAAGCCCCAGGAAAGGUGUUAAGCUUUGCCUCAUAAUGGAGGGAUAUUUCAGAAGGGAAACUACUGCUUUUUCAUUUUUGCAAGAUAUAUAAAGCGCAGAUAUGUAAAAAGUGUUAAAACCUGAGCCUGAAGAUCUUUGCAACUUUGUUGUUGGACUGAGGUGAAAGCUCGAAGAGAGUGCUGUGACUCCGUGUCAAGAGAUCUUCUGGCAGCUGAAGAACAGAGCAGAAGAUUUCUGCAACCCAGACAAGUUGCUGUAGAAAUCACACUUGUGAGUAGCAGCUCUUGCCAUGCAUAUUUUACUUUCCAACCUCUGGUUGGAAAGAUGGAGGAGUGAUGGAGAUCCACUGGUCCUCCAGCUGGGGCGUCUUCAUGUCUGAAACCCGAUUUAGAAACUUGAAAGCUCACAGGACCAACUGCACAACCCUGCGGUCAUAUUUCCUGUGCUUGGCACCCUGCCACGGGCACUGGGAGCACGGGUCCGUCGAUGCUGACUGCUGCUUCAUGCUCAAUGAUCUCAUGGAUGUGCAGAGUGAAGAAGGAUAAUCCCCAGCGAAGACAGGGGGCAGGGUUGAGCUGACCUUUGGAAGAGUGAAGAGAGGGAGAUGUUCCACCGCUUCUCUGCCACCACCUUAAAGCCAAUGGGAGCUUAAACUUCAUCUAGGUGAAAAUGAUGGCAAGGAAACGACAGAGGGCAGCUGCUACCUCCGGCUAUGCUCCAUCGGGAGGGUAGAAUAGAAAGGGAGAGGAUGUUUUAGCCCUUGACUGCCAUUUAUUCCAGCACUUACAAAAAAAUAUAUAUAUAUAUAUAUUAAAUCCUAAUCCUGAAACACCUAUUAAAAAGAGUACUAAACCAUGGCAGAAGAGUGUCUGUGAGGUAGGGCUUUUUGCAUUAACCCAGCAGAUUUUUUAUUUUAUUUAUUUUUUACUGUAAAUGAACUCUCACUGGCUUUCUUUAAAGGUCACCUUUUUUAUAACUACUGCGCUGGGAAAAUGCUUUUAAGUUUCAUCUGCUUUGUGUGUGUGCAUUUUCUAAGCCCUGGGUUUACUUCUUAUUGGAAAAUGGUCUUGGAUCAUCUCUGAGUUGGAAAUUUUAUUCUAUUUGUCAGGUGCAUGUGAAAAAGACAUUUUUUUUAACUCUUUAGACACCCAAUUUAUCGUUUUCAUUGGGUGCUCAGCA